RNAcentral lists this unclassified non-coding RNA (361 nucleotides) under Muehlenbeckia platyclada. The record is from RNAcentral. Lineage: Eukaryota; Viridiplantae; Streptophyta; Magnoliopsida; Caryophyllales; Polygonaceae.
GAGUCCCGUUCUACGUGUCAAUCCUGACAACAAUGAAAUUUAUAGUAAGAGGAAAAUCCGUCGACUUUAAAAAUCGUGAGGGUUCAAGUCCCUCUAUCCCCAAAAAAGAUCCUUUGAUUCUCUAACUAAUUAUCCUCUUUUUUUGUUAACGAUUCAAAUAAAAAUUGGGUCUCUUCCUCAUUUACUCUUCUUUCACAAAGGUAUCCGAGCAGAAAAGUUUUUCUCUUAUCACAAGUCUUGUGAUGUAUGAUGUAAAUGAGACAUGAGCAGCUUUGAGCAAGGAGUACUCUUACUCAUUUGAAUGAUUCCCAAUACAUAUCAUUACUCAUACUAAGACUUACAAAAAAAGUCUUCUUUUUAA